UUUAAACAAGUAAUAAACAGAAACAAAAAUAGACAUGUACCCUGGGCUGGGGCUAGUGCCGGAGGUAUCGGAUGCUCCGUUACCAUCUGGAUUAGUCAUACUAGUCGUGGGAUGGUCUCAGUCGAUGUAGUCGUACAAUAAUGAUGCAGGAAGAGGUCGUUGCAGUGGAGUCCCUCGAACGGCCUCCAAGAAGAAGAGGAAGUAGUCGAUCAGCGUCUC
RNAcentral lists this long non-coding RNA (219 nucleotides) under Setaria italica (foxtail millet). RNAcentral describes it as "long non-coding RNA (SITA_LNC004468)". The record is from RNAcentral. Lineage: Eukaryota; Viridiplantae; Streptophyta; Magnoliopsida; Poales; Poaceae.